This 506-nucleotide ribosomal RNA is filed under the name uncultured bacterium. Its description in RNAcentral is "partial 16S ribosomal RNA". It matches the Rfam family "Bacterial small subunit ribosomal RNA", at positions 31 to 523 of the family's 1533-position model. The record is from RNAcentral.
AUAGAACGCUGGCGGCAGGCCUAACACAUGCAAGUCGAACGGUAACAGGAAACAGCUUGCUGUUUCGCUGACGAGUGGCGGACGGGUGAGUAAUGUCUGGGAAACUGCCUGAUGGAGGGGGAUAACUACUGGAAACGGUAGCUAAUACCGCAUAACGUCGCAAGACCAAAGAGGGGGACCUUCGGGCCUCUUGCCAUCGGAUGUGCCCAAAUGGGAUUAGCUUGUUGGUGGGGUAACGGCUCACCAAGGCGACGAUCCCUAGCUGGUCUGAGAGGAUGACCAGCCACACUGGAACUGAGACACGGUCCAGACUCCUACGGGAGGCAGCAGUGGGGAAUAUUGCACAAUGGGCGCAAGCCUGAUGCAGCCAUGCCGCGUGUAUGAAGAAGGCCUUCGGGUUGUAAAGCACUUUCAGCGGGGAGGAAGGGAGUAAAGUUAAUACCUUUACUCAUUGACGUUACCCGCAGAAGAAGCACCGGCUAACUCCGUGCCAGCAGCCGCCGUAA